AUGGUGCCGAAGAAGACGCCGAAGGGCAAGUCGGGCUUCUUCGGCGUGAGGCAGAAGCCCUCCGGUAACUUCGGAGUGGAGUUCUCCGACGUCGGAAGGCGUUGGUGGAUCGGCACGUACCCCUCCGCCCACGAGGCCGUGCGUGCCUACGACGUGGUGGUGUGGCGUGCCGAGAGGCCUCGAGAGCACCUCAACUUCCCAGAGAUCGAGAGUCGGGCGGAAGCGGAGAUGCUUGUGCCGCAGGGCAUCAAGAUGAAGGAGAUCCCGACGAAGAAGAAGAAGAAGAAGAAGAAGCCGUCAGUUGUCGUCAGUGCCGGUGAGACCUACGAGGAGGCGAUGGCGAGGUUUGCUCGGGAGCAUCCGGAGUACGUCUAG
RNAcentral lists this ribosomal RNA (375 nucleotides) under Triticum aestivum (bread wheat). RNAcentral's name for it is "partial small subunit ribosomal RNA". Lineage: Eukaryota; Viridiplantae; Streptophyta; Magnoliopsida; Poales; Poaceae. The record is from RNAcentral.